GUGAUGAAAUGCCCUAAAAGUUGAAUGGUGAUAUGGGCCCGUGUUACUGAA
This 51-nucleotide small nucleolar RNA is filed under the name Acidianus hospitalis W1. Its description in RNAcentral is "putative C/D box RNA". Lineage: Archaea; Thermoproteati; Thermoproteota; Thermoprotei; Sulfolobales; Sulfolobaceae. The record is from RNAcentral.